Molecule: ribosomal RNA, 497 nt
Filed under: uncultured bacterium
Lineage: Bacteria
Description: partial 16S ribosomal RNA
Rfam family: Bacterial small subunit ribosomal RNA
Source: RNAcentral
GACGAACGCUGGCGGCGUGCCUAAUACAUGCAAGUAGAACGCUGAAGAGAGGAGCUUGCUCUUCUUGGAUGAGUUGCGAACGGGUGAGUAACGCGUAGGUAACCUGCCUUGUAGCGGGGGAUAACUAUUGGAAACGAUAGCUAAUACCGCAUAACAAUGGAUGACACAUGUCAUUUAUUUGAAAGGGGCAAUUGCUCCACUACAAGAUGGACCUGCGUUGUAUUAGCUAGUAGGUGAGGUAAUGGCUCACCUAGGCGACGAUACAUAGCCGACCUGAGAGGGUGAUCGGCCACACUGGGACUGAGACACGGCCCAGACUCCUACGGGAGGCAGCAGUAGGGGAUCUUCGGCAAUGGGGGCAACCCUGACCGAGCAACGCCGCGUGAGUGAAGAAGGUUUUCGGAUCGUAAAGCUCUGUUGUAAGUCAAGAACGGGUGUGAGAGUGGAAAGUUCACACUGUGACGGUAGCUUACCAGAAAGGGACGGCUAACUACGUG